Molecule: long non-coding RNA, 376 nt
Organism: Hyaena hyaena (striped hyena)
Lineage: Eukaryota; Metazoa; Chordata; Mammalia; Carnivora; Hyaenidae
Exons: 4
Source: RefSeq, a predicted model, not a curated record
CCAAAAUCCGAUUCACAAGACUGUUAACACACUGGAGCCACCAUAAGGACCUACUGUUUGGUGACUUGUAUGGCACUGCCAACACCAUCUGCUCCAGAGCAGAAAGACUACUUAAUAGCCAAAAGCAGCUGCCAGAUUAGGCUUCAAUGUACUCUUUCAGUUCCCUCCAGGAUGACCUGAUGUGACCACCCUUCUAGGUAGAGAGGAGCCAACUGAUGAGUAGGCAAUUGCCAUUGAAAAGAUAAUUUGUUAUGCCCACAAGUCCCAAGAAGAAGGGGUGCACAAGGAAGCACCAAGCUGUUUGUAAAAGCUUCGGUCUGCACAAUUCUGAUUUAAAGGAACCUACUGAGCAAUCCUCCAGUAAAGAAGAAAGCUG